This 393-nucleotide ribosomal RNA is filed under the name uncultured bacterium. Its description in RNAcentral is "bacterial SSU rRNA". It matches the Rfam family "Bacterial small subunit ribosomal RNA", at positions 28 to 417 of the family's 1533-position model. The record is from RNAcentral.
GAUGAACGCUGGCGGCGUGCUUAACACAUGCAAGUCGAACGAUGAAAGCGGGAGCUUGCUCCUGCUGGAUUAGUGGCGAACGGGUGAGUAACACGUGAGUAACCUGCCCUUGACUCUGGGAUAAGCGUUGGAAACGACGUCUAAUACCGGAUACGACCCUCGGAGGCAUCUCCAGGGGGUGGAAAGAAUUUCGGUCAAGGAUGGACUCGCGGCCUAUCAGCUAGUUGGUGAGGUAACGGCCCACCAAGGCGACGACGGGUAGCCGGCCUGAGAGGGUGACCGGCCACACUGGGACUGAGACACGGCCCAGACUCCUACGGGAGGCAGCAGUGGGGAAUAUUGCACAAUGGGCGAAAGCCUGAUGCAGCAACGCCGCGUGAGGGACGACGGCCU